GACAGAGGUGCCGAGCGUUAGGCGGAAUCACUGGGCUUAAAGCGUGUGUAGGCGGACUUCUAAGUACCUUGUGAAAUCCCCCGGCUCAACCGGGGAACUGCUUGGUAUACUGGUUGUCUUGAGCCACUUAGGGGCAGUCGGAACAGACGGUGGAGCGGUGAAAUGCGUAGAUAUCGUCUGGAACGCCAAAGGUGAAAACAGACUGCUGGGAGUGUGCUGACGCUGAGACACGAAAGCCAGGGGAGCAAAGCGGG
This 254-nucleotide ribosomal RNA is filed under the name uncultured bacterium. Its description in RNAcentral is "partial 16S ribosomal RNA". It matches the Rfam family "Bacterial small subunit ribosomal RNA", at positions 524 to 777 of the family's 1533-position model. The record is from RNAcentral.